CGUGUAGGUGGCUCGCCAAGUCUGGUGUGAAAGCCCACGGCUCAACCGUGGAACUGCAUUGGAAACUGGCGAGCUCGAGUAUUGGAGGGGGUCGCGGAAUUCCCGGUGUAGAGGUGAAAUUCGUAGAUAUCGGGAGGAACACCAGUGGCGAAGGCGGCGACCUGGCCAUUCACUGACACUGAGACGCGAAAGCGUGGGGAGCAAACAGGAUUAGAUACCCUGGUAGUCCACGCCGUAAACGAUGGGUGCUAGCCAUAUCGGGUGUUGACCCUUGGGUGUGGCGAAGCCAACGCGUUAAGCACCCCGCCUGGGGAGUACGGUCGCAAGAUUAAA
This 333-nucleotide ribosomal RNA is filed under the name uncultured Pseudomonadota bacterium. RNAcentral describes it as "bacterial SSU rRNA". It matches the Rfam family "Bacterial small subunit ribosomal RNA", at positions 568 to 898 of the family's 1533-position model. The record is from RNAcentral. Lineage: Bacteria; Pseudomonadati; Pseudomonadota.